Stegastes partitus (bicolor damselfish) is the source of this 1065-nucleotide long non-coding RNA. RefSeq lists it as uncharacterized. The transcript has 2 exons. NCBI's taxonomy places the organism in Eukaryota, Metazoa, Chordata, Actinopteri, Pomacentridae. The record is from RefSeq and is a predicted model, not a curated record.
GUUAAGACAGUUACAGCGUUUGUGAUGUGAUAUGACUGUUGUUCUACUGUUUGUAGAAUCUAACUUAUUUCUUAAAACUCUUCAGUCACUGAGAGUUGCUACAAAGUCUUCUUCAUCAGUAAGCAGAAUAACUGAAGGCAAUAAGAGCUACAGGAUCUGAAGGCGUUUCUCUGUCCAGCUAAAUGUUCGUGGAUAUAGUAGUGGGAAAAACUUUCAUUUUUUUCCCGUUUAAUUUUUCUUUGCUGAGAGAGGAGAAAACUGACACCACACUCAUAUCUUUGAGGUAAAUAUUAGACUACCACCAGUAGCUGCUUGUUUUAGCUUUGCACACAGAAUAGAAACAGGGAAAUGGUUAGCACAAGAAAAUUUGUUGCAGGUGGCAUUUUUUUGCUACCAUUACACAGAGCCAGGUUCGCUGUAUCCACUUGUUUUGCAGUCUUCAUGCUAAGCUAAGCUAACCAGCUGCUGGUUGUAGGCCUAUUUCCAACAAACAUCAAACUCAUGGCUUUAAAACAAAUAGCAUAUUUGCAAAAAUGUGAAACUAUUCCUUUUAAGGGGGACAACUUUCAGUAUAACUCUUCUUAUGUGAUAUUCUUCUGGUCAAAGUGUGACAUCAUAUAGGUGUGCAGAGUUGUGUUGAUUAUGGAGAAUAACUUGACUUUGUCAUUUCCAUCUGAGAGGUCAUCAAAUCACUGAUCUCUCAAAAACUGGAAUAUCUCCAAUGAGUCCUCUUGGAAAACACUUCUUCAAAAUCACAUCUCAAAGCUUUUAUUCAUAACUCUCAAGUUUCAUGUCAUAUUAUUUAGUUUCAUUUGAGACGUUUUCACCGUUAGAAUAACACAUGAAAUCUAAAUAUCUGUGCUGUGCCUCUUCUGAGUCUCUUCUCUGUCAUAUCACUGGCUGAGUGUUUACCAGGCUCUCAGAUUCUCAUUCACCUAUAAAACUAUAAAACGGAUGCUUCACUGAAGAAAUCAGUUGCCUGGUUCCAAAGAAGGCCUUUGCUUGUUUUUCCAUGUUGUUCAGUGUACCACAGAGUAAAAUAAACACGCAGGUUCCAAGCAGCGA